GAUGAACGCUGACAGAAUGCUUAACACAUGCAAGUCUACUUGAUUCUACUUCGGUAGUUGAUGGUGGCGGACGGGUGUGUAACGCGUAAAGAAUCUGCCCUUUAGUUUGGGAUAACCUUUGGAAACGAAGGCUAAUACCGGAUAUUAUGGAGACGUCGCAUGGCGACUCCAUGAAAGCUAUAUGCGCUAGAGGAGGACUUUGCGUCCCAUUAGUUAGUUGGUGAGGUAAUGGCUCACCAAGGCCGCGAUGGGUAGCCGGCCUGAGAGGGUGAUCGGCCACAAGGGAACUGAGACACGGUCCUUACUCCUACGGGAGGCAGCAGUGGGGAAUAUUGGACAAUGGGCCACAAGCCUGAUCCAGCAAUUCUGUGUGCACGAUGAAGGUCUUCGGAUUGUAAAGUGCUUUCAGUAGGGAAGAAAAAAAUGACGGUACCUACAGAAGAAGCGACGGCUAAAUAUGUGCCAGCCGCCGCGGUAA
RNAcentral lists this ribosomal RNA (478 nucleotides) under uncultured bacterium. RNAcentral's name for it is "partial 16S ribosomal RNA". It matches the Rfam family "Bacterial small subunit ribosomal RNA", at positions 28 to 523 of the family's 1533-position model. The record is from RNAcentral.